GACGAACGCUGGCGGCGUGCCUAAUACAUGCAAGUAGAACGCUGAAGGAGGAGCUUGCUCUUCUGGAUGAGUUGCGAACGGGUGAGUAACGCGUAGGUAACCUGCCUGGUAGCGGGGGAUAACUAUUGGAAACGAUAGCUAAUACCGCAUAACAGUAGAUAUCGCAUGAUAGCUGCUUGAAAGGUGCAAUUGCACCACUACCAGAUGGACCUGCGUUGUAUUAGCUAGUUGGUGAGGUAACGGCUCACCAAGGCGACGAUACAUAGCCGACCUGAGAGGGUGAUCGGCCACACUGGGACUGAGACACGGCCCAGACUCCUACGGGAGGCAGCAGUAGGGAAUCUUCGGCAAUGGACGAAAGUCUGACCGAGCAACGCCGCGUGAGUGAAGAAGGUUUUCGGAUCGUAAAGCUCUGUUGUAAGAGAAGAACGAGUGUGAGAGUGGA
This 445-nucleotide ribosomal RNA is filed under the name Streptococcus infantis. Its description in RNAcentral is "bacterial SSU rRNA". It matches the Rfam family "Bacterial small subunit ribosomal RNA", at positions 28 to 465 of the family's 1533-position model. The record is from RNAcentral. Lineage: Bacteria; Bacillati; Bacillota; Bacilli; Lactobacillales; Streptococcaceae.